RNAcentral lists this ribosomal RNA (430 nucleotides) under Pseudomonadota bacterium. Its description in RNAcentral is "Proteobacteria bacterium partial 16S ribosomal RNA". It matches the Rfam family "Bacterial small subunit ribosomal RNA", at positions 355 to 776 of the family's 1533-position model. Lineage: Bacteria; Pseudomonadati; Pseudomonadota. The record is from RNAcentral.
UGGGGAAUAUUGGACAAUGGGCGCAAGCCUGAUCCAGCCAUGCCGCGUGUGUGAAGAAGGCCUUAUGGUUGUAAAGCACUUUAAGCGAGGAGGAGGCUACUUUAGUUAAUACCUAGAGAUAGUGGACGUUACUCGCAGAAUAAGCACCGGCUAACUCUGUGCCAGCAGCCGCGGUAAUACAGAGGGUGCAAGCGUUAAUCGGAUUUACUGGGCGUAAAGCGCGCGUAGGCGGCUAAUUAAGUCAAAUGUGAAAUCCCCGAGCUUAACUUGGGAAUUGCAUUCGAUACUGGUUAGCUAGAGUGUGGGAGAGGAUGGUAGAAUUCCAGGUGUAGCGGUGAAAUGCGUAGAUAUAGGAAGGAACACCAGUGGCGAAGGCGACCACCUGGGCUCAUACUGACACUGAGGUGCGAAAGCGUGGGGAGCAAACAGG